This 439-nucleotide ribosomal RNA is filed under the name uncultured bacterium. RNAcentral's name for it is "partial 16S ribosomal RNA". It matches the Rfam family "Bacterial small subunit ribosomal RNA", at positions 339 to 795 of the family's 1533-position model. The record is from RNAcentral.
CUACGGGGGGCUGCAGUGGGGAAUAUUGCACAAUGGGGGGAACCCUGAUGCAGCAACGCUGCGUGGAGGAUGACACAUUUCGGUGCGUAAACUCCUUUUAUAUAAGAAGAUAAUGACGGUAUUAUAUGAAUAAGCACCGGCUAACUCCGUGCCAGCAGCCGCGGUAAUACGGGGGGUGCAAGCGUUACUCGGAAUCACUGGGCGUAAAGAGCAUGUAGGCUGGUUUGUAAGUUGGAAGUGAAAUCCUAUGGCUUAACCAUAGAACUGCUUCCAAAACUACUUACCUAGAGUAUGGGAGAGGUAGAUGGAAUUUCUGGUGUAGGGGUAAAAUCCGUAGAGAUCAGAAGGAAUACCGAUUGCGAAGGCGAUCUACUGGAACAUUACUGACGCUCAGAUGCGAAAGCGUGGGGAGCAAACAGGAUUAGAUACCCUCGUAGUC